This is a transfer RNA of Ovis aries (sheep), 72 nucleotides long. It matches the Rfam family "tRNA". Rfam says of the family: Transfer RNA (tRNA) molecules are approximately 80 nucleotides in length. Their secondary structure includes four short double-helical elements and three loops (D, anti-codon, and T loops). Further hydrogen bonds mediate the characteristic L-shaped molecular structure. tRNAs have two regions of fundamental functional importance: the anti-codon, which is responsible for specific mRNA codon recognition, and the 3' end, to which the tRNAs corresponding amino acid is attached (by aminoacyl-tRNA synthetases). tRNAs cope with the degeneracy of the genetic code in two manners: having more than one tRNA (with a specific anti-codon) for a particular amino acid; and 'wobble' base-pairing, i.e. permitting non-standard base-pairing at the 3rd anti-codon position. NCBI's taxonomy places the organism in Eukaryota, Metazoa, Chordata, Mammalia, Artiodactyla, Bovidae. The record is from Rfam.
UCCCUGGUAGCUCAGAUGGUAAAGCAUCUACCUGCUAUGCAGGAGACCUGGGUUCAAUCCCUGGGUUGGGAA